RNAcentral lists this ribosomal RNA (429 nucleotides) under Verrucomicrobiota bacterium. Its description in RNAcentral is "Verrucomicrobia bacterium partial 16S ribosomal RNA". It matches the Rfam family "Bacterial small subunit ribosomal RNA", at positions 355 to 776 of the family's 1533-position model. The record is from RNAcentral. Lineage: Bacteria; Pseudomonadati; Verrucomicrobiota.
UAGGGAAUCUUCCGCAAUGGACGAAAGUCUGACGGAGCAACGCCGCGUGAGUGAAGAAGGAUUUCGGUUCGUAAAACUCUGUUGUUAGGGAAGAAAAAAUGUAUAGUAACUAUAUACAAAAGAGACGGUACCUAACCAGAAAGCCACGGCUAACUACGUGCCAGCAGCCGCGGUAAUACGUAGGUGGCAAGCGUUGUCCGGAAUUAUCGGGCGUAAAGCGCGCGCAGGUGGUUUAGAAAGUCUGAUGUGAAAGCCCACGGCUCAACCGUGGAAGGUCAAUGGAAACUAAUAAACUUGAGUGCAGGAGAGAAAAGUGGAAUUCCUAGUGUAGCGGUGAAAUGCGUAGAGAUUAGGAGGAACACCGGUGGCGAAAGCGGCUUUUUGGCCUGCAACUGACACUGAGGCGCGAAAGCGUGGGGAGCAAACAGG